UGGUCUCAAUCUCCUGACCUCGUGAUCUGCCCGUCUCGGCCUCCCAAAGUGCUGGGACUACAGGCGUGAACCACCGCAUCUGGCCAGAGUGUUUUUAAAAGAAGCCAACCAUUUCUAUCAGUCACAAGACUCUCUACUUAAAUUUCAAUUUUAGCAACAACACAAUCUAAAGGGUGCUGAUUCCUGCAACACAUGUUUCACCACCUCCAUGGCUAACCAGCUUCCAGGCGCAGUGGCUCAUGCCUAUAAUCCCAGCACUUUGGGAGGCCGAGGCGGGCAGAUCAUCU
Molecule: non-coding RNA, 287 nt
Organism: Chlorocebus sabaeus (green monkey)
Lineage: Eukaryota; Metazoa; Chordata; Mammalia; Primates; Cercopithecidae
Source: RefSeq, a predicted model, not a curated record